This 429-nucleotide ribosomal RNA is filed under the name Gemmatimonadota bacterium. Its description in RNAcentral is "Gemmatimonadetes bacterium partial 16S ribosomal RNA". It matches the Rfam family "Bacterial small subunit ribosomal RNA", at positions 355 to 776 of the family's 1533-position model. The record is from RNAcentral. Lineage: Bacteria; Pseudomonadati; Gemmatimonadota.
UAGGGAAUCUUCGGCAAUGGACGAAAGUCUGACCGAGCAACGCCGCGUGAGUGAAGAAGGUUUUCGGAUCGUAAAACUCUGUUGUUAGAGAAGAACAAGGACGUUAGUAACUGAACGUCCCCUGACGGUAUCUAACCAGAAAGCCACGGCUAACUACGUGCCAGCAGCCGCGGUAAUACGUAGGUGGCAAGCGUUGUCCGGAUUUAUUGGGCGUAAAGCGAGCGCAGGCGGUUUCUUAAGUCUGAUGUGAAAGCCCCCGGCUCAACCGGGGAGGGUCAUUGGAAACUGGGAGACUUGAGUGCAGAAGAGGAAAGUGGAAUUCCAUGUGUAGCGGUAAAAUGCGUAGAUAUAUGGAGGAACACCAGUGGCGAAGGCGGCUCUCUGGUCUGUAACUGACGCUGAGGCUCGAAAGCGUGGGGAGCAAACAGG